RNAcentral lists this ribosomal RNA (440 nucleotides) under uncultured bacterium. Its description in RNAcentral is "partial 16S ribosomal RNA". It matches the Rfam family "Bacterial small subunit ribosomal RNA", at positions 338 to 795 of the family's 1533-position model. The record is from RNAcentral.
CCUACGGGAGGCAGCAGUGGGGAAUAUUGCACAAUGGGGGAAACCCUGAUGCAGCGACGUCGCGUGAGUGAUGAAGUAUUUCGGGAUGUAAAGCUCUAUCAGCAGGGAAGAAAAUGACGGUACGUGACUAAGAAGCCCCGGCUAACUACGUGCCAGCAGCCGCGGUAAUACGUAAGGGGCAAGCGUUAUCCGGAUUUACUGGGUGUAAAGGGAGCGUAGACGGCGGUGCAAGCCAGAUGUGAAAGCCCGCGGCUCAACCCCGGGACUGCAUUUGAAACUGUGCUGCUAGAGUGUCGGAGAGGCAGGCGGAAUUCCUAGUGUAGCGGUGAAAUGCUUAGAUAUCAGGAGGAACACCAGUGGCGAAGGCGGCCUGCUGGACGAUGACUGACGUUGAGGCUCGAAAGCGUGGGGAGCAAACAGGAUUAGAUACCCCUGUAGUC